GGCAAGGUGGCCGAGUGGUCUAAGGCGCACGGUUCAGGUUUACCUGAUCCUGCUUCAAAAGCUUCCGUGUAUCGAAAGGUGCGUGGGUUCGAAUCCCACCCUUGUCA
Transfer RNA from Aspergillus nidulans FGSC A4, 107 nucleotides. It matches the Rfam family "tRNA". From Rfam's summary of the family: Transfer RNA (tRNA) molecules are approximately 80 nucleotides in length. Their secondary structure includes four short double-helical elements and three loops (D, anti-codon, and T loops). The record is from Rfam. Lineage: Eukaryota; Fungi; Ascomycota; Eurotiomycetes; Eurotiales; Aspergillaceae.